This 460-nucleotide ribosomal RNA is filed under the name uncultured bacterium. RNAcentral describes it as "partial 16S ribosomal RNA". It matches the Rfam family "Bacterial small subunit ribosomal RNA", at positions 338 to 795 of the family's 1533-position model. The record is from RNAcentral.
CCUACGGGACGCAGCAGUGAGGAAUAUUGGUCAAUGGGCGCGAGCCUGAACCAGCCAAGUCGCGUGAAGGAUGACUGCCCUACGGGUUGUAAACUUCUUUUAUAAAGGAAUAAAGUGAGGCACGUGUGCCUUUUUUUAUGUACUUUAUGAAUAAGGAUCGGCUAACUCCGUGCCAGCAGCCGCUGUAAUACGGAGGAUCCGAGCGUUAUCCGGAUUUAUUGGGUUUAAAGGGAGCGUAGAUGGGUUGUUAAGUCAGUGGUGAAAGUUUGCGGCUAAACCGUAAAAUUGCAAUUGAUACUGGCAGCCUUGAGUACAGGUGAGGUAGGCGGAAUUCGUGGUGUAGCGGUGAAAUGCUUAGAUAUCACGAAGAACUCCGAUUGCGAAGGCAGCUUACUAAACUGCCACUGACAUUGAUGCUCGAAAGUGUGGGUAUCAAACAGGAUUAGAUACCCCUGUAGUC